This 433-nucleotide ribosomal RNA is filed under the name uncultured bacterium. Its description in RNAcentral is "partial 16S ribosomal RNA". It matches the Rfam family "Bacterial small subunit ribosomal RNA", at positions 29 to 507 of the family's 1533-position model. The record is from RNAcentral.
AACGAACGCUGGCGGCAUGCCUAACACAUGCAAGUCGAACGAGACCUUCGGGUCUAGUGGCGCACGGGUGCGUAACGCGUGGGAACCUGCCCUUAGGUUCGGAAUAACUCCCCGAAAGGGGUGCUAAUACCGGAUAAUGUCUUCGGACCAAAGAUUUAUCGCCUUUGGAUGGGCCCGCGUUGGAUUAGCUAGUUGGUAGGGUAAAAGCCUACCAAGGCGACGAUCCAUAGCUGGUCUGAGAGGAUGAUCAGCCACACUGGGACUGAGACACGGCCCAGACUCCUACGGGAGGCAGCAGUGGGGAAUAUUGGACAAUGGGCGAAAGCCUGAUCCAGCAAUGCCGCGUGAGUGAUGAAGGCCGUAGGGUUGUAAAGCUCUUUUACCCGGGAGGAUAAUGACAGUACCGGGAGAAUAAGCUCCGGCUAACUCCGUG